RNAcentral lists this ribosomal RNA (357 nucleotides) under uncultured type I methanotroph. RNAcentral describes it as "bacterial SSU rRNA". It matches the Rfam family "Bacterial small subunit ribosomal RNA", at positions 359 to 715 of the family's 1533-position model. Lineage: Bacteria; Pseudomonadati; Pseudomonadota; Gammaproteobacteria; Methylococcales; Methylococcaceae. The record is from RNAcentral.
CGGGUUUAUGGGGGGCAGCCUGAUCAGCAUGCCGCGUGUGUGAAGAAGGCCUUCGGGUUGUAAAGCACUUUUAUCGGGAACGAAACGUGGGGGGUGAAUAGCCUCGUAGACUGACGGUACCCGAGGAAUAAGCACCGGCUAACUUCGUGCCAGCAGCCGCGGUAAUACGAAGGGUGCAAGCGUUACUCGGAAUUACUGGGCGUAAAGGGUGCGUAGGUGGUUUUUUAAGUCUGCUGUGAAAUCCCCGGGCUCAACCUGGGAAUGGCAGUGGAUACUGGAAAGCUGGAGUGCGGUAGAGGGUAGUGGAAUUUCCGGUGUAGCGGUGAAAUGCGUAGAGAUCGGAAGAACCACCAGUGG